This 721-nucleotide long non-coding RNA is filed under the name Macaca nemestrina (pig-tailed macaque). RNAcentral describes it as "lncRNA (ENSMNEG00000046036.1)". Lineage: Eukaryota; Metazoa; Chordata; Mammalia; Primates; Cercopithecidae. The record is from RNAcentral.
CCAGGGAAUUUGUCAGGCACGUCUUUGAGGGCUCCCAAUUUAGAGCCCUGGGCCAUACACCAGGCUGUGCACCUGCCCUCCUUCCCUCCAUGCCCUCCCAGAUUCGCCUCAAACACAGGGAGUGACUUCACCUCGGGCUACAUCUGCUUCCAAACUGCUCAGCACGGUUCUCACCCAAACCCACCAUUUGAUUCAGAAAUUACAUGCAGGACUAAUUGUUGCUUGAGGCUACUUGUGAAAUGGGGAUAGUUUGUAACAAAAAAAAAAAACCCAGCACAAGGCUUCAAGGUAUGAAAUAAAUUGUUCCAGGAGGAGACAACACACACACACACAACCACAAACAUAUCAUUUGAGCACAGUACUACACCUUCCACCCAGAAAAGCAAAGGCCUCCUAUUAUUAAAAGGACAAUGAAGGUACAUCUUCUUAUUUUAUUUUUUUAACCCAGUAAUAAAAUGGAAGCAGAAAGAUGAAGCAGAGACGUUCCAGAUGUUCCAGGUGCUGGGAACAGGGCUGGUUGUGCCCUGAGAAAUCACAGCAAGCUCUCCUCUCUCUGGAUGUCAGCUUCCGCUUGUUUCGAAGGAGGAGAGAGGUUACCUGCAGACUCCUCCCGUGGAGACCUCUCGGAUGCCUCCAUUUGGGAGAAAACUGAAUAUGUCAAAGGGCACCAGAUCUGGGAACCAAAGGGGAGGUGAGAACACUUGGGACCUCUUUAUUUUUG